Acanthosepion pharaonis is the source of this 112-nucleotide non-coding RNA. NCBI's taxonomy places the organism in Eukaryota, Metazoa, Mollusca, Cephalopoda, Sepiida, Sepiidae. The record is from the annotation of a GenBank genome assembly.
UAUGGCCACAUCACGUUCAAACAAUGGUUCCCGUCAGCUCACCGAAGUUAAGCAACCUCAAAUCUGGUCAGUACCUAGAUGAGUGACCGCUUGGAAAUACCAGUUGCUGUAA